UACGUAGGGGGCAAGCGUUGUCCGGAAUUAUUGGGCGUAAAGAGCUCGUAGGCGGUGUGUCGCGUCGGCCGUGAAAACCUGCAGCUUAACUGUGGGCUUGCGGUCGAUACGGGCAUCACUGGAGUUCGGCAGGGGAGACUGGAAUUCCUGGUGUAGCGGUGAAAUGCGCAGAUAUCAGGAGGAACACCGGUGGCGAAGGCGGGUCUCUGGGCCGAUACUGACGCUGAGGAGCGAAAGCGUGGGGAGCAAACAGG
This 254-nucleotide ribosomal RNA is filed under the name uncultured bacterium. RNAcentral's name for it is "partial 16S ribosomal RNA". It matches the Rfam family "Bacterial small subunit ribosomal RNA", at positions 524 to 776 of the family's 1533-position model. The record is from RNAcentral.